AUGAGUGCCGCCGGUCUUCAUAAACGCAACGACUCCGAGCCUCACUCAGUGCCCCGGUCGGCCAGUCCCCACUGGAAAGCGCAGCACCGCGUUCCUCUUCCUCCCAUGGCCGCCGUCCUCCUCCUCCUCCUAGCCCUCGCGCUCCCCGCCGCCACCAACGCGCUCACCGCCGACGGCCUGGCGCUGCUCUCCUUCAGGGCCGCCGUCCUGCAGGACCCCACGGGGGCCCUCGCCGACUGGAACGCCUCCGAUGCCGACCCCUGCUCCUGGAACGGCGUCGCCUGCGACGACGCCGGCGUCCGCCGGGUCGUCGCGCUCUCCCUUCCCAGGAAGGACCUCGUCGCCGCCCUACCGGCGUCCCCGCUCCCGGACUCCCUCCGCCACCUCAACCUCCGCGGCAACCGCCUCUACGGCACCCUGCCGCCCGCGCUCCUCGCCGGCGCCGCGGGGCUCCAGAGCCUCGUCCUCUACGGGAACGAGCUCUACGGGCCCGUCCCCGCGGAGCUCGGGGACCUCCCCUACCUCCAAAUCUUGGACCUCUCCUCCAACGCCCUCAACGGCUCUCUCCCCGGGUCGAUCCUGAAAUGCAGGCGCCUCCGCAGGCUGUCCCUCGGCCGGAACAACCUCACGGGCCCGAUCCCGCCGGGGUUUGGCCGGGAGCUCUCGGCGCUGGAGGAGCUCAAUCUGUCCUACAACCGGUUCUCCGGCGCCGUCCCGGAUGACAUCGGGAACCUGUCCAGGCUCGAGGGGACGGUGGACCUGUCGCACAAUGACUUCUCCGGGCCGAUUCCGGCGAGCCUGGGGAAAUUGCCGGAGAAGGUCUACAUUGAUCUCUCCUAUAACAAUUUGUCAGGGCCGAUUCCGCAGAAUGGGGCGCUUGAGAACCGUGGCCCCACGGCGUUCUUGGGCAACCUAGGGCUUUGUGGGCCGCCGCUCGAGAACCCGUGCUCGCCGCCAUCGUCCAACCCGUCUGUUCCAAAGGAUGGGGAGUCCGGUGCCGGGGGCAACGGGAGUGGGAGGAGCAAGGGGUUGGGGAAGGGUGACAUUGUGGCCAUUGUUCUGGCUGAUGUGGCAGGGAUCUUGAUCAUUGCCCUGGUGUUCUUCUACUGCUAUUGGAAGAGAGUUUCCCCCAAGGAGAAGGGACAUGGUGCGGCUACGGGCUCGAAAGAGUCGAGGUCUGGUUGUUUUAGCAGGGACGAGCCGGAGACUCCAUCAGAGCAGCACGACCUCGUGCUGUUGGACCAGAAACUGAGGUUUGAUCUCGAUGAGCUGCUCAAGGCAUCAGCUUUUGUGCUCGGGAAGAGUGGGAUCGGGAUUGUGUACAAGGUAGUUCUUGAGGAUGGGCUCACCAUGGCGGUGAGGCGGCUUGGCGAGGGGGGAUUGCAAAGGUUUAAGGAGUUUCAGAGUGAGGUUGAGGCCAUUGGCAAGGUCCGGCAUCCCAACGUUGUUGCCUUGAGGGCCUACUACUGGUCGUUUGAUGAGAAGUUGCUGAUAUAUGAUUACAUCUCAAAUGGCAGCCUCUCUUCAGCAAUUCAUGGUAAACCUGGGACAAUGACAUUCACACCAUUGACAUGGAAUGCACGUCUAAAGAUCAUGAAAGGAGUCGCGAAUGGGAUGUCUUUCUUGCAUGAAUUUAGUCCCAAGAAGUAUGUACACGGGGACUUGAGGCCGAACAAUGUCCUUCUUGGAACGAACAUGGAACCGUAUAUUUCAGAUUUCGGCCUCGGACGACUAGCAAACAUUGCUGGUGGAGCAGCACCUUCUUCGCAGUCAGAUAGGAUUGGCGUCGAAAAGGAUCAGAGUCUGCAGCCAGAUUCCUCAGUGAGCCCUCUUGUGAGCAAAGAAGGUUCAUGCUACCAAGCACCAGAAGCGUUGAAAACAUUGAAACCGUCGCAGAAGUGGGAUGUCUACUCCUAUGGUGUGAUCUUGCUCGAAAUGAUUACUGGUAGAUCGCCCGUCGCUCUCUUGGAAACUAUGCAGAUGGAUCUUGUCCAGUGGGUCCAGUUCUGUAUACAAGAUAAGAAACCAUCCGCUGAUGUGCUUGACCCUUUCCUCGCCAGGGACUCGGAACAGGAAGGUGAGAUGAUUGCUGUACUCAAAGUCGCUCUCGCUUGCGUUCAUGCUAAUCCCGAGCGAAGACCGGUGAUGAGAAAUGUCACAGAAACCUUGGAGCGCCUGAGCGCUUCAGUUUCAAGCUAG
RNAcentral lists this ribosomal RNA (2199 nucleotides) under Triticum aestivum (bread wheat). RNAcentral's name for it is "partial small subunit ribosomal RNA". Lineage: Eukaryota; Viridiplantae; Streptophyta; Magnoliopsida; Poales; Poaceae. The record is from RNAcentral.